AACGAACGCUGGCGGCAUGCCUAACACAUGCAAGUCGAACGAGACCUUCGGGUCUAGUGGCGCACGGGUGCGUAACGCGUGGGAACCUACCCUUAGGUUCGGAAUAACUCCCCGAAAGGGGUGCUAAUACCGGAGAAUGUCUUCGGACCAAAGAGUUAUCGCCUUUGGGUGGGCCCGCGUUGGAUUAGCUAGUUGGGAGGGUAAAAGCCUACCAAGGCGACGAUCCAUAGCUGGUCGGAGAGGAUGAUCAGCCACACUGGGACUGAGACACGGCCCAGACUCCUACGGGAGGCAGCAGUGGGGAAUAUUGGACAAUGAGCGAAAGCCUGAUCCAGCAAUGCCGCGUGAGUGAUGAAGGCCUUAGGGUUGUAAAGCUCUUUUACCCGGGAUGAUAAUGACAGUACCGGGAGAAUAAGCUCCGGCUAACUCCGUG
This 433-nucleotide ribosomal RNA is filed under the name uncultured bacterium. Its description in RNAcentral is "partial 16S ribosomal RNA". It matches the Rfam family "Bacterial small subunit ribosomal RNA", at positions 29 to 507 of the family's 1533-position model. The record is from RNAcentral.